RNAcentral lists this ribosomal RNA (2903 nucleotides) under Escherichia coli. RNAcentral describes it as "bacterial LSU rRNA". It matches the Rfam family "Bacterial large subunit ribosomal RNA". Lineage: Bacteria; Pseudomonadati; Pseudomonadota; Gammaproteobacteria; Enterobacterales; Enterobacteriaceae. The record is from RNAcentral.
UUAAGCGACUAAGCGUACACGGUGGAUGCCCUGGCAGUCAGAGGCGAUGAAGGACGUGCUAAUCUGCGAUAAGCGUCGGUAAGGUGAUAUGAACCGUUAUAACCGGCGAUUUCCGAAUGGGGAAACCCAGUGUGUUUCGACACACUAUCAUUAACUGAAUCCAUAGGUUAAUGAGGCGAACCGGGGGAACUGAAACAUCUAAGUACCCCGAGGAAAAGAAAUCAACCGAGAUUCUCCCAGUAGCGGCGAGCGAACGGGGAGCAGCCCAGAGCCUGAAUCAGUGUGUGUGUUAGUGGAAGCGUCUGGAAAGGCGCGCGAUACAGGGUGACAGCCCCGUACACAAAAAUGCACAUGCUGUGAGCUCGAUGAGUAGGGCGGGACACGUGGUAUCCUGUCUGAAUAUGGGGGGACCAUCCUCCAAGGCUAAAUACUCCUGACUGACCGAUAGUGAACCAGUACCGUGAGGGAAAGGCGAAAAGAACCCCGGCGAGGGGAGUGAAAAAGAACCUGAAACCGUGUACGUACAAGCAGUGGGAGCACGCUUAGGCGUGUGACUGCGUACCUUUUGUAUAAUGGGUCAGCGACUUAUAUUCUGUAGCAAGGUUAACCGAAUAGGGGAGCCGAAGGGAAACCGAGUCUUAACUGGGCGUUAAGUUGCAGGGUAUAGACCCGAAACCCGGUGAUCUAGCCAUGGGCAGGUUGAAGGUUGGGUAACACUAACUGGAGGACCGAACCGACUAAUGUUGAAAAAUUAGCGGAUGACUUGUGGCUGGGGGUGAAAGGCCAAUCAAACCGGGAGAUAGCUGGUUCUCCCCGAAAGCUAUUUAGGUAGCGCCUCGUGAAUUCAUCUCCGGGGGUAGAGCACUGUUUCGGCAAGGGGGUCAUCCCGACUUACCAACCCGAUGCAAACUGCGAAUACCGGAGAAUGUUAUCACGGGAGACACACGGCGGGUGCUAACGUCCGUCGUGAAGAGGGAAACAACCCAGACCGCCAGCUAAGGUCCCAAAGUCAUGGUUAAGUGGGAAACGAUGUGGGAAGGCCCAGACAGCCAGGAUGUUGGCUUAGAAGCAGCCAUCAUUUAAAGAAAGCGUAAUAGCUCACUGGUCGAGUCGGCCUGCGCGGAAGAUGUAACGGGGCUAAACCAUGCACCGAAGCUGCGGCAGCGACACUAUGUGUUGUUGGGUAGGGGAGCGUUCUGUAAGCCUGUGAAGGUGUGCUGUGAGGCAUGCUGGAGGUAUCAGAAGUGCGAAUGCUGACAUAAGUAACGAUAAAGCGGGUGAAAAGCCCGCUCGCCGGAAGACCAAGGGUUCCUGUCCAACGUUAAUCGGGGCAGGGUGAGUCGACCCCUAAGGCGAGGCCGAAAGGCGUAGUCGAUGGGAAACAGGUUAAUAUUCCUGUACUUGGUGUUACUGCGAAGGGGGGACGGAGAAGGCUAUGUUGGCCGGGCGACGGUUGUCCCGGUUUAAGCGUGUAGGCUGGUUUUCCAGGCAAAUCCGGAAAAUCAAGGCUGAGGCGUGAUGACGAGGCACUACGGUGCUGAAGCAACAAAUGCCCUGCUUCCAGGAAAAGCCUCUAAGCAUCAGGUAACAUCAAAUCGUACCCCAAACCGACACAGGUGGUCAGGUAGAGAAUACCAAGGCGCUUGAGAGAACUCGGGUGAAGGAACUAGGCAAAAUGGUGCCGUAACUUCGGGAGAAGGCACGCUGAUAUGUAGGUGAAGUCCCUCGCGGAUGGAGCUGAAAUCAGUCGAAGAUACCAGCUGGCUGCAACUGUUUAUUAAAAACACAGCACUGUGCAAACACGAAAGUGGACGUAUACGGUGUGACGCCUGCCCGGUGCCGGAAGGUUAAUUGAUGGGGUUAGCCGCAAGGCGAAGCUCUUGAUCGAAGCCCCGGUAAACGGCGGCCGUAACUAUAACGGUCCUAAGGUAGCGAAAUUCCUUGUCGGGUAAGUUCCGACCUGCACGAAUGGCGUAAUGAUGGCCAGGCUGUCUCCACCCGAGACUCAGUGAAAUUGAACUCGCUGUGAAGAUGCAGUGUACCCGCGGCAAGACGGAAAGACCCCGUGAACCUUUACUAUAGCUUGACACUGAACAUUGAGCCUUGAUGUGUAGGAUAGGUGGGAGGCUUUGAAGUGUGGACGCCAGUCUGCAUGGAGCCGACCUUGAAAUACCACCCUUUAAUGUUUGAUGUUCUAACGUUGACCCGUAAUCCGGGUUGCGGACAGUGUCUGGUGGGUAGUUUGACUGGGGCGGUCUCCUCCUAAAGAGUAACGGAGGAGCACGAAGGUUGGCUAAUCCUGGUCGGACAUCAGGAGGUUAGUGCAAUGGCAUAAGCCAGCUUGACUGCGAGCGUGACGGCGCGAGCAGGUGCGAAAGCAGGUCAUAGUGAUCCGGUGGUUCUGAAUGGAAGGGCCAUCGCUCAACGGAUAAAAGGUACUCCGGGGAUAACAGGCUGAUACCGCCCAAGAGUUCAUAUCGACGGCGGUGUUUGGCACCUCGAUGUCGGCUCAUCACAUCCUGGGGCUGAAGUAGGUCCCAAGGGUAUGGCUGUUCGCCAUUUAAAGUGGUACGCGAGCUGGGUUUAGAACGUCGUGAGACAGUUCGGUCCCUAUCUGCCGUGGGCGCUGGAGAACUGAGGGGGGCUGCUCCUAGUACGAGAGGACCGGAGUGGACGCAUCACUGGUGUUCGGGUUGUCAUGCCAAUGGCACUGCCCGGUAGCUAAAUGCGGAAGAGAUAAGUGCUGAAAGCAUCUAAGCACGAAACUUGCCCCGAGAUGAGUUCUCCCUGACUCCUUGAGAGUCCUGAAGGAACGUUGAAGACGACGACGUUGAUAGGCCGGGUGUGUAAGCGCAGCGAUGCGUUGAGCUAACCGGUACUAAUGAACCGUGAGGCUUAACCUU